RNAcentral lists this ribosomal RNA (508 nucleotides) under Hippodamia variegata. RNAcentral describes it as "partial large subunit ribosomal RNA". The stretch from base 382 to 508 matches the Rfam family "Bacterial large subunit ribosomal RNA", at positions 2473 to 2600 of the family's 2925-position model. The record is from RNAcentral. Lineage: Eukaryota; Metazoa; Arthropoda; Insecta; Coleoptera; Coccinellidae.
CUCUUUUUGAUUAUAAUUUAAAGUAGGGCCUGCCCACUGAAUAUUUAAAGGGCCGCAGUAUUUUGACUGUGCAAAGGUAGCAUAAUCAUUAGUUUUUUAAUUGAAAGCUAGAAUGAAUGGUUUGAUGAAAAAAUUUCUUUCUUUAUUUAAUUUUAAAAUAAAUUUAUUUUUAAGUUAAAAAGCUUAAAUAAUUUUAAUAGACGAGAAGACCCUAUAGAGUUUAAUUUUUUAAAUAAAUAAAUUUUUAGAAUUAAAAAAUUUAAUUAUCUAAAAAAAUUUAAUUGGGGUGAUUAUAAAAUUAAAUUAACUUUUAUUAUUUGAAACCAUUAAUUUAUGAAUAAAUGAUCCAUAAUAAUGAUUAAAAGAAUAAAUUACCUUAGGGAUAACAGCGUUAUUUUUUUUUAGAGUUCAAAUCGAAAAAAAAGAUUGCGACCUCGAUGUUGGAUUAAAGUUAAUUUUAGGUGCAGAAGCUUAAUAAUUUGGUCUGUUCGACCAUUAAAACUUUACA